RNAcentral lists this ribosomal RNA (699 nucleotides) under uncultured bacterium. RNAcentral's name for it is "bacterial SSU rRNA". It matches the Rfam family "Bacterial small subunit ribosomal RNA", at positions 8 to 681 of the family's 1533-position model. The record is from RNAcentral.
AGAGUUUGGAUCCUGGCUCAGAUUGAACGCUGGCGGCAUGCCUAACACAUGCAAGUCGAACGGUAACAGGACGCUGGGAUCCCUUCGGGGUGACCUUGUCGCUGACGAGUGGCGGACGGGUGAGUAAUGCAUAGGAAAUUGCCUUGAAGUGGGGGAUAGCCCGGAGAAAUCCGGAUUAAUACCGCAUGCGCUCUACGGAGCAAAGCGGGCCUCUGAUUUAAGCUCGCGCUUUGAGAUAUGCCUAUGUCGGAUUAGCUAGUUGGUAGGGUAAAAGCCUACCAAGGCGACGAUCCGUAGCUGGUUUGAGAGGAUGAUCAGCCACACUGGGACUGAGAUACGGCCCAGACUCCUACGGGAGGCAGCAGUGGGGAAUAUUGGACAAUGGGCGCAAGCCUGAUCCAGCAAUGCCGCGUGUGUGAAGAAGGCCUGCGGGUUGUAAAGCACUUUUAUCGGGAAAGAAAAUCUCAGGGUUAAUACCCCUGGGCCUUGACGGUACCCGAAGAAUAAGCACCGGCUAACUCAGUGCCAGCAGCCGCGGUAAUACUGAGGGUGCAAGCGUUAAUCGGAAUUACUGGGCGUAAAGCGAGUGUAGGCGGCUGCGUAAGUCGGAUGUGAAAGCCCCGGGCUCAACCUGGGAAUUGCAUUCGAUACUGCGCGGCUAGAGUCUGAUAGAGGGAAGUGGAAUUCCAGGUGUAGCGG